Molecule: long non-coding RNA, 1653 nt
Filed under: Felis catus (domestic cat)
Lineage: Eukaryota; Metazoa; Chordata; Mammalia; Carnivora; Felidae
Description: lncRNA (ENSFCAG00000051440.1)
Source: RNAcentral
AUGCACACACACACACACAACACACACACACACUGCACGGACGUGCACACACACAGAUGUGAACACACACCCCCUAAUGCACAGACAUCCAGACACACACCCAAAUGCACACACGUGCACACACACACCCAAAUGCAGACAUCCAGACACACACCCAAAUGCACACACGUGCACACACACACCCAAAUGCAGACAUCCAGACACACACCCAAAUGUACACACGUGCACACACACACCCAAAUGCAGACAUCCAGACACACACCCAAAUGUACACACGUGCACACACACCCAAAUGCAGACAUCCAGACACCCAAAUGUACACACGUGCACACACACACACACACACACACACCCAAAUGCAGACAUCCAGACACACACCCAAAUGCACACAUUCACACACACACACACACCCAAAUGCACAGACAUCCAGACACACACCCAGAUGCAUACACAUUCACACACACACACACCCAAAUGCAGACAUCCAGACACACCCAAAUGCACACACAUGCACACACACACCCACAAAUGCAGACAUCCACACACCCAAAUGCACAGACACCCAGACACACACCCAAAUGCAUACAUGUGCACACACACACCCAAAUGCACACACGUGCGCAGACAUCCACACACCCAAAUGCACACACGUUUACACACACACACACACCCAAAUGCACAGACAUCCAGACACACACCCAAAUGCACACACGUGCACACACACACCACACAAAUGCACAGACAUCCAGACACACACCCAAAUGCACACACGUGCACACACACACCCAAAUGCAGAUAUCCAGACAUACACCCAAAUGCAGAUAUCCAGACACACCCAAAUGCACACACAUGCACACACACACCCACAAAUGCAGACAUCCACACACUCAAAUGCACAGACAUCCACACACCCAAAUGCAUACAUGUGCACACACACACCCAAAUGCAGACAUCCACACACCCAAAUGCACACACGUUCACACACACACACCCAAAUGCAGACAUCCAGACACACCCAAAUGCACACACGUGCACAUACACACACAUAUACACACACCCAAAUGCAUAGACAUCCAGACAUACACCCAAAUGCACACACGUGCACACACACAACCCCCCAAAUGCAGACAUCCAGACACACCCAAAUGUACACAUGUGCACACACACACACCCAAAUGCAGAAUCCAGACAUACCCAAAUGCACACACGUGCACACACACCCCCAAAUGCACAGAUAUCCAGACACACCCAAAUGCACACACGUGCACACACACACACACCCAAAUGCACAGACAUCCAGACAUACACCCAAAUGCACACACGUGCACACACACAACCCCCCAAAUGCAGACAUCCAGACACACCCAAAUGCACACACGUACACACACACACACACCCAAGUGCACAGACAUCCAGACACACACCCAAAUGCACAGGGCUGCACACACACAGACACUACUAAACGCACAGAUGCACACACAUACCGCACAUUCAGUGCACAGGCACGUGCGUGGACUCACGCACCGCAAGGACUUUCUGCCUGUGCUCCAGCGGUUCUCGGUUUUGCUUCUUAUGGGGGUCACAGGCAGCCGCUCUCACAGCCCCGGAGGGGAUUCUAACUAUGACUUCUCUAAUAGCGGCAUCUCUUAUUAA